AGCAGCCGCGGUAAUUCCAGCUCCAAUAGCGUAUAUUAAAGUUGUUGCAGUUAAAAAGCUCGUAGUUGAAUUUCGGGGUUCUACCGUUGGUCAGGCUAACAAGUCUGUACUGGUGUGUAGAAUUUCUACCUUCUGGGGAACCAUCAUGUUAUUAAUUUAGCGUGGUGGGAAACCAGGACCUUUACCUUGAAAAAAUUAGAGUGUUCAAAGCAGGCUUACGUCUGAAUACAUUAGCAUGGAAUAAUAAAAUAGGACGGUGGUCCUGUUUUGUUGGUUUCUGAAUCACCGUAAUGAUUAAUAGGGAUAGUUGGGGGCAUUAGUAUUCAAUUGUCAGAGGUGAAAUUCUUGGAUUUAUUGAAGACUAACUUCUGCGAAAGCAUUUGCCAAGGAUGUUUUCAUUAAUCAAGAACGAAAGUUAGGGGAUCGAAGACGAUCAGAUACCGUCGUAGUCUUAACCAUAAACUAUGCCGACUAGGGAUCGGACGAUGUUAACUUUAUUGACUCGUUCGGCGCCUUACGG
Molecule: ribosomal RNA, 520 nt
Filed under: uncultured Glomeromycotina
Lineage: Eukaryota; Fungi; Glomeromycota
Description: SSU rRNA
Rfam family: Eukaryotic small subunit ribosomal RNA
Source: RNAcentral